CUGAUGCAUGAAGUCCUUGGACCAUCGUGGACCACCCACACCAUUGUAAUUUUGGGCACUGCAGGACGUACCUAAGGCGUGGGACUAGUAGAACAUAAACGGCACCAACUACGUCAGCACAUCCCCCAGUAUUGUGGCUCCUGCUGGGCAAACGGCAGCAGCAGUGCCAUGGUGCUGGUCUUCGCUGGAUUUGCCACGCUUUGUUUUUUACUCACCUAAGACAGUAAUUGCUCCAUAUCUGAUGUCAUUGGUAUCAAAACAUAUU
This is a long non-coding RNA of Neoarius graeffei (lesser salmon catfish), 265 nucleotides long. RefSeq lists it as uncharacterized. Lineage: Eukaryota; Metazoa; Chordata; Actinopteri; Siluriformes; Ariidae. The record is from RefSeq and is a predicted model, not a curated record. The transcript is spliced from 3 exons.